CCUACGGGAGGCUGCAGUAGGGAAUUUUCGGCAAUGGGGGGAACCCUGACCGAGCAACGCCGCGUGAACGAAGAAGUUAUUCGUAAUGUAAAGUUCUUUUAACAGGGAAGAAAGAGAAAUUUGACGGUACCUGAAGAAUAAGCUCCGGCAAACUACGUGCACGCAGCCGCGGUAAUAAGUAGGGAGCGAGCGGUAUCCGGAAUAAUUGGGCGAAAAGAGUGCGUAGAUGGGAUAGUAAGUCUUUUGUAAAAAUGCUGGGCUAAACCCAGUAGGGCAAAAGAUACUGUAAAGCUAGAGUAGAACAGAGGCAAGUGGAACUACAUGUGUAGCGGUAAAAUGCGUAGAUAUAUGUAAGAACACCAGUGGCGAAGGCGGCUUGCUGGGUCGAGACUGACAUUGAGGCACGAAAGCGUGGGGAGCAAACAGGAUUAGAUACCCGAGUAGUC
RNAcentral lists this ribosomal RNA (446 nucleotides) under uncultured bacterium. RNAcentral describes it as "partial 16S ribosomal RNA". It matches the Rfam family "Bacterial small subunit ribosomal RNA", at positions 338 to 795 of the family's 1533-position model. The record is from RNAcentral.